RNAcentral lists this ribosomal RNA (426 nucleotides) under Triticum aestivum (bread wheat). Its description in RNAcentral is "partial small subunit ribosomal RNA". The record is from RNAcentral. Lineage: Eukaryota; Viridiplantae; Streptophyta; Magnoliopsida; Poales; Poaceae.
AUGGUUGAGCACCAACAAAGCGCAUCUGCUCUUCACUUUCUCUUCCAUUACGAACAUACACACAUCAUCAGUUCAUCCAUUAGAAACAUGGUUUGCCAUCAAAGAUCCGCAAGCUUGCCUUACUCCAGUGAAUCCCAAGUGGAGGUGGAGCUGCAGGGCCUGAAGUCAUGCAUCUCUUCACCCUCCGCAACCAUCGACACAAUGUGUGGUGGUUACGCAAGGCUUGGAGACAUCUACAAGUGCAUAGAGGAGAUCAUGGGCUUGCCCAGCAACCAAGUUGGCCUCUCCUUCCCCCAAAACAAGAAAAUGGUGGAAGAGGAACUGGAGCGAUCCCUCCUGCUGAUUGAUCUCUGCAAUUCAAUGCAAGAGAAUUUAGCAGAGCUGAAGAUGAGUACCCAGGAGCUGCAACUGGUUCUCAAAAGAUGA